UUAAUAGUUACAGUUAAAAAA
RNAcentral lists this non-coding RNA (21 nucleotides) under Caenorhabditis elegans. The record is from RNAcentral. Lineage: Eukaryota; Metazoa; Nematoda; Chromadorea; Rhabditida; Rhabditidae.